This 536-nucleotide ribosomal RNA is filed under the name Trigonopterus sp. 680 AR-2022a. RNAcentral's name for it is "partial large subunit ribosomal RNA". It matches the Rfam family "Archaeal large subunit ribosomal RNA", at positions 1916 to 2694 of the family's 2987-position model. Lineage: Eukaryota; Metazoa; Arthropoda; Insecta; Coleoptera; Curculionidae. The record is from RNAcentral.
GGCUUGUUGAUUAUAAUUUCAGGUCGGACCUGCCCAAUGAGGAGUUAAAUGGCCGCGGUAUUUUGACCGUGCAAAGGUAGCAUAAUCAUUAGUUUUUUAAUUGGAAGCUUGAAUGAAGGGUUUGAUGAGAAAAUAACUGUCUCUGAGAAAAUUUAUUAGAAUUUUAUUUUUAGGUUAAAAAGCUUAAAUUUUUAUUGAAGACGAGAAGACCCUAUAGAGUUUUAUAUCGAAGUUUAAAUUAAGGUUUAGGAAUUUAAGUUUUAGUUUUAGAGUCUUUAUUUUGUUGGGGUGAUUAAAAAAUUAAAUUAACUUUUUUUUUAUUUAUAUACAGAUUAGUAAGUUUAUGAUCCUUUAUUUAAGAUUAUAAGAUUAAAUUACCUUAGGGAUAACAGCGUAAUUUUUUAGAAAGUUCUUAUUAAAAAGAAAGAUUGCGACCUCGAUGUUGGAUUAAAAUUUAUUAUUAGGUGUAGAAGCUAAUAAAUUAGGUCUGUUCGACCUUUGAAAUUUUACAUGAUCUGAGUUUAAACCGGUGUGAG